GUGAGGAAUUUUCCGCAAUGGGCGAAAGCCUGACGGAGCAAUGCCGCGUGAAGGAUGAAGGCCUAUGGGUUGUAAACUUCUUUUCUCAGAAAAGAAUUAUGACGGUAUCUGAGGAAUAAGCAUCGGCUAACUCUGUGCCAGCAGCCGCGGUAAGACAGAGGAUGCAAGCGUUAUCCGGAAUGAUUUGGCGUAAAGCGUCUGUAGGUUGUUUAAAAAGUAUUCUGUCAAAGAUUAGGGCUUAACCCUAGAUAGGCAGAAUAAACUUUUAAGCUAGAGUUUGGUAGAGUCAGAGGGAAUUCCCGGUGGAGCGGUGAAAUGCGUAGAUAUCGGGAGGAACACCAAAGGCGAAGGCACUCUGCUGGGCCAAUACUAGCACUGAGAGACGAAAGCGAGGGGAGCAAAUGGGAUUAGAAACCCCGGUAGUCC
Molecule: ribosomal RNA, 426 nt
Filed under: uncultured bacterium
Lineage: Bacteria
Description: partial 16S ribosomal RNA
Rfam family: Bacterial small subunit ribosomal RNA
Source: RNAcentral